Molecule: ribosomal RNA, 497 nt
Filed under: uncultured bacterium
Lineage: Bacteria
Description: partial 16S ribosomal RNA
Rfam family: Bacterial small subunit ribosomal RNA
Source: RNAcentral
GAUGAACGCUGGCGGCGUGCCUAAUACAUGCAAGUCGAGCGAACGGACGAGAAGCUUGCUUUUCUGAUGUUAGCGGCGGACGGGUGAGUAACACGUGGAUAACCUACCUAUAAGACUGGGAUAACUUCGGGAAACCGGAGCUAAUACCGGAUAAUAUUUUGAACCGCAUGGUUCAAAAGUGAAAGACGUUCUUGCUGUCACUUAUAGAUGGAUCCGCGCUGCAUUAGCUAGUUGGUAAGGUAACGGCUUACCAAGGCAACGAUGCAUAGCCGACCUGAGAGGGUGAUCGGCCACACUGGAAGUGAGACACGGUACAGACUCCUACGGGAGGCAGCAGUAGGGAAUCUUCCGCAAUGGGCGAAAGCAUGACGGAGCAACGCCGCGUGAGUGAUGAAGGUCUUCGGAUCGUAAAACUCUGUUAUUAGGGAAGAACAUAUGUGUAAGUAACUGUGCACAUCUUGACGGUACCUAAUCAGAAAGCCACGGCUAACUACGUG